This 501-nucleotide ribosomal RNA is filed under the name uncultured bacterium. Its description in RNAcentral is "partial 16S ribosomal RNA". It matches the Rfam family "Bacterial small subunit ribosomal RNA", at positions 30 to 523 of the family's 1533-position model. The record is from RNAcentral.
AUUGAACGCUGGCGGCAUGCCUUACACAUGCAAGUCGAACGGCAGCACGGGUGCUUGCACCUGGUGGCGAGUGGCGAACGGGUGAGUAAUAUAUCGGAACGUACCUUAUUGUGGGGGAUAACGCAGCGAAAGCUGUGCUAAUACCGCAUAAUCCCUAAGGGGGAAAGCGGGGGACCGUAAGGCCUCGCGCAAUUAGAGCGGCCGAUACCUGAUUAGCUAGUUGGUGAGGUAAAGGCUCACCAAGGCAACGAUCAGUAGCUGGUCUGAGAGGACGAUCAGCCACACUUGGACUGAGACACGGCCCAGACUCCUACGGGAGGCAGCAGUGGGGAAUUUUGGACAAUGGGGGCAACCCUGAUCCAGCAAUGCCGCGUGAGUGAAGAAGGCCUUCGGGUUGUAAGGCUCUUUUGUCAGAGAAGAAACAGCAGCUCUAACACAGUUUGCGAAUGACGGUACCUGAAGAAUAAGCACCGGCUAACUACGUGCCAGCAGCCGCCGUAA